Non-coding RNA from Coffea arabica (coffee), 174 nucleotides. The record is from RefSeq and is a predicted model, not a curated record. NCBI's taxonomy places the organism in Eukaryota, Viridiplantae, Streptophyta, Magnoliopsida, Gentianales, Rubiaceae.
ACGAUAAAAGGAUCGCUGCAUUCGCGUGGGAGGUAGAUCAGAAUCCCAAGGAGACUCUCAUUCAAAUGUUUCAACUUUCUCUCACACGAGAUGACCUCAGGACUCUUUGUGAUGGCAUGCAUGUCUCGACUCGGGUCAUCGACAUGUUUGCCCGGCAUAUCAACUGGGGCGGGG